GCCUGGGUGGCUCAGUCAGUUAAGCGUCUGACUUCAGCUCAGGUCAUGAUCUCACAGCUUGUGGGUUUGAGCCCUGCAUCAGGCU
Molecule: transfer RNA, 85 nt
Filed under: Felis catus (domestic cat)
Lineage: Eukaryota; Metazoa; Chordata; Mammalia; Carnivora; Felidae
Also listed under: 1 other name
Rfam family: tRNA
About the family: Transfer RNA (tRNA) molecules are approximately 80 nucleotides in length. Their secondary structure includes four short double-helical elements and three loops (D, anti-codon, and T loops).
Source: Rfam by way of RNAcentral